RNAcentral lists this unclassified non-coding RNA (746 nucleotides) under Hevea brasiliensis (rubber tree). Lineage: Eukaryota; Viridiplantae; Streptophyta; Magnoliopsida; Malpighiales; Euphorbiaceae. The record is from RNAcentral.
AGAAACUGACUGUGAACAAGUGUAGCAAGAUUUCAUUCUGAUAACGUGUUGUAUUCCACCAGCUCCAAAAGAAUGUCCACAUGGCAAUAUCAUUGCAUCAUCCAUUAGAGCUCCCGUCACUGGGUCUGAUAAAAUGGCUCUCAAGGGCUCUCCAGACUCGCAUGAAAAUGACGAACCUUCCUUUCUUCCACUAAAACCGCAACCAUUCUCCACACCCAUAUCCUUCCCUGCACUACCAGACCCCUCUGUUGCCUGCAAAUACUGCGAGUAAUACAUGUCCCCUUCAGGUUCUGCUAUUGUCACUGUAUUAUUCCCUGUCUGGCCUAUACUCCCACCACCAUCUUUCAUCGCCAUCAAUUCCCCUGUAGCCCCUCCAAAAGAAGGAUGGUGUUUGGGCUUUCCAUUUCCAUUUCCCAUUUUAUCUACAUUACCAGUAUUGCUAGUGGUACUAGUAGUGGUUGUAUUAUUGUUAUUGCUUUUGCCGCUAUUGUUAUUGUUAUUAGUGUUACUAGUACUAGUAUCAACACCAACCAGUGCCCCCACUUCGUUAUCAUGGUCACCAUCACCACCGUCCACGUCAUCAUCAUCAUCGAGGUCGUCAUCAUCGUCGUCCUCGUCACCGUCUGAUUCAUCGCCGCUGGUCCCGUUCCCGUUCCAAUUACGAUUCUCCCGGUACAUAUUGCGCGGGAAUUCGGGGCCGCCCUGGUGGGAGGGGAAGUAACUAUCGUUGGCGGCGUCGGCGGCUG